AGCGAACGCUGGCGGCAGGCCUAACACAUGCAAGUCGAGCGCCCGUAGCAAUACGGGAGCGGCAGACGGGAGAGUAACACGUGGGGACGUACCCUUCGGUUCGGAAUAACCCAGGGAAACUUGGGCUAAUACCGGAUACGUCCGAAAGGAGAAAGAUUUAUCGCCGAAGGAUCGGCCCGCGCCCGAUUAGCUAGUUGGUG
RNAcentral lists this ribosomal RNA (200 nucleotides) under uncultured bacterium. RNAcentral's name for it is "partial 16S ribosomal RNA". It matches the Rfam family "Bacterial small subunit ribosomal RNA", at positions 29 to 254 of the family's 1533-position model. The record is from RNAcentral.